GGGCGGGGCUACAGGCUUGUGGGCGGUGCUUGUGAUCUGUGGGCGGUGCUUCUGAUCUGUGGGCGGGGCUACAGGCUUGUGGGCGGUGCUUCAGACCUGUGGGCGGGGCUACAGUGUAAUGGGCGGUGCUUCAUACCUGUGGGCGGGGCUACAGGGGUGUAGGCGGUGCUUCUGACCUUUGGGCGGGGCUACAGGCUUGUGGGUGGUGCUUUGGAGGGGUGGCCUUGGCGUGGUGGGCGUGGCUAUGCAAAUGUGCCGCUGUUCUAAUUAGCGUUUCUCUUCCCCCAGCAUGCUGCAGCCCGUGCCGAAGGCGGAGCCCCGCGCCGUCCUCCUCCUCAACACCCCCCGCCCCACGCAUGGGGGGCUGCCCCUCGGCCCCGCCCCCCUCCUCGUUAGCCCCGCCCCUUCCGCUUCGAGCCCCGCCCCCUCCACCAUCACCGUGGCGACGGCCGGCGUGGCUGUGGGGAACCCCGGGGGGGGGCAGGGGGUGACGAGCAACACCCAGGGGGUGACGGUGACCCCCCAGGGGGUGACGCUGACCCCGCAGGGGGUGACGCUGACCAACCAAGGGGUGACGUUGACCCCCCAGGGGGUGACGGGGGCGGCACAAGGGGUGACGGUGACCCCCCAGGGGGUGGCCAUGAGCAGCCAAGGCCUGACGGUGACGCCGGUGGGGGUGGCCCUGACCAGCCAAGGCUUGACCUUGGGCACCCAGGGGGUGACGGUGACCCCCAUGACGCCCACCGGGGUCACCCUGGCGGCGCCCGGGGUGACGGUGACCCCCACAGCGGUGACGGUGACCCCCACGGCCCCGCAGGCGCUGGGCUUGGGGUUGGGAUUGACGUUGGCCCCGCCCCGGGCCACGCCCCCUGCGACUCUAUUGGCUACGCCUGCUUCUGGCCCCGCCCACGCCCCGCCCCCAGGCUCUCAGCCCCGCCCCCCGGCUCCGAGCCCCGCCCCCUCGAAGCCAGGCUCCGCCCCUUUGGCCGCCUUUGCUCUUCCUGUUCCCGGAGCGCAGCGCCUCCUGCUGGCCCCCGAGCUCACGGCCCGCCUGCCCUGUGAGUCCCAAAAUCGCCCUUUUUCACCCCAAAAUCCCAUUACCCAUUA
This 1107-nucleotide long non-coding RNA is filed under the name Phasianus colchicus (ring-necked pheasant). RNAcentral describes it as "lncRNA (ENSPCLG00000020103.1)". The record is from RNAcentral. Lineage: Eukaryota; Metazoa; Chordata; Aves; Galliformes; Phasianidae.